This 83-nucleotide transfer RNA is filed under the name Echinostoma caproni. It matches the Rfam family "tRNA". Rfam says of the family: Transfer RNA (tRNA) molecules are approximately 80 nucleotides in length. Their secondary structure includes four short double-helical elements and three loops (D, anti-codon, and T loops). Further hydrogen bonds mediate the characteristic L-shaped molecular structure. tRNAs have two regions of fundamental functional importance: the anti-codon, which is responsible for specific mRNA codon recognition, and the 3' end, to which the tRNAs corresponding amino acid is attached (by aminoacyl-tRNA synthetases). tRNAs cope with the degeneracy of the genetic code in two manners: having more than one tRNA (with a specific anti-codon) for a particular amino acid; and 'wobble' base-pairing, i.e. permitting non-standard base-pairing at the 3rd anti-codon position. Lineage: Eukaryota; Metazoa; Platyhelminthes; Trematoda; Plagiorchiida; Echinostomatidae. The record is from Rfam by way of RNAcentral.
GGCCUCGUAGCUCAGCCCUAAAGCGUUCGCUGUACAAAAGCUUGGGCGGCGUCCAUAUGUGGGUUCGAAUCCCACCGAGGCUA